Bactrocera dorsalis (oriental fruit fly) is the source of this 838-nucleotide long non-coding RNA. RefSeq lists it as uncharacterized. NCBI's taxonomy places the organism in Eukaryota, Metazoa, Arthropoda, Insecta, Diptera, Tephritidae. The record is from RefSeq and is a predicted model, not a curated record. The transcript is spliced from 3 exons.
UGCAAUGCAACACUGCAAAGAAAUUCAUUUACAAUGCAAAGCAAUAUUGCGUGGCAACACUGCUUUGCCAAAUAAAUGGUUGGCAUUUUACUGCAUUUAUGAACGCGCAAAAGAUUGGUACAUUGCAUCACUAACACUAACAUAUUCGACAACAAAGUUUUUUUAAAUGAAUGUGCAGGAAUAUUGCUGUAUUCUUUUGAAAACAGCCUCAGAAUUGGCUGAUAAUAGAGAAUCAAGCAGCAGUGUUAUCAAAAAUAUAAUAAACGAAAGAAAACGCCGUCGUUUUGCAUUAUUAGCUAGCGAAAAUUCACGGAGAAGAAUUCCAAAAACCAAAAAUUUUUGUAAGGUUAUCGAAAGCAUGGAAGACGAUGUAUUUUAUUCUCAUUUUCGAAUGAAGAAAAGUACAUUUCAGAAGUUGCAGAUUGCGAUUAAGCCCUGGUGGAAUUCAAGUGAAACUGGACGUAUAGCAAAAACGUUGAAAAAAUCUUUACAAAUAACAAUUUGGAAGUUAAGCAAUAAUUGCUCUUUCAGAGAUGUCAGCGACCGGUUUGGUGUGGCAGCUGGCCUCGCAUAUAAGCGGAACAAAAACAAGUAAAUGAAGAAUUUACAAACCUGCGGUAUAAUCCUUUUCCUUUUGUAAUUGGAUGCAUCGACGGAACUCAUAUUCCAAUUUCGAAGCCAAUCAAGGAUGAAAUCAGCUAUCGCAACCGAAAGGGAACGUAUUCAAUCAUUAAAAAAUGAACUUUUUUGCAUGAUAAUAAUUAUUAACUGGAAAUAUUUUUUUCAGGCUAUUGUAGAUAGUCGAAUGAGGUUUAUAGAUGCAUUUAUCGGCUGUCCA